GUUCUGGAGCGGUUGGAAAGGGCAGUUGUGAACGGCAGUUGGACGGAGGAAUGAAAUCCUGAAGAGAUGCCCAGAAGAGGGACACGCCCGAAGAAGGCAGAAGGGAUCAUUUCUGCUUGAAUGUUUUUUUCUUGGUUAAAACUGCCAUCUCCUCUCCAGCUCCCCCAGGCCUCCCACCCAAUCAGUCCCAAGGCCAGACAAGUAUAAAACUGGCUCCUGCCACACGGAAGGAAACUUGCUCUCCCCAGGAAGGGUCUGGAAGGGUGUCCGCAGUUUCUGGAACAAACUCGUGAAAAUGUAAGGGAAAAAUAGCCCGUACUGCAACAACCCGUCCCAAGUACCCCUGCUUCCCUCACGACUUCACACCUGAACAGGCUCCCCUGGUGGAGGAGACACCCGGCGGUUAACAAACUGAGAAAGGAAGUCCGCGCCAGUCACUCUACCGAGGUGUCACCGCCGCCGGGACUUUCAAGCACCGCGAACAUCUGCUACCCCUGAAUUCAAAGUGACAAGCUACUCCUUGAGUGGCGUAAAGAAGAGAACACUUACACAACAUCGGAUGAAAUUAAAAGCCAUUGUGCAUCCUCCCCCAUCAAACCGAAUGGGCUGCUCAAAUACUUGACAGAAUGCUCCCUGGAGGCAUCUGUCCAACCACACAGGCCUCUGCCACUAGCCCCCAGUGGGUAGAACUCCACGAGCCUCUAUAGUUAGGGGUGCCCUGAGAAUUCGGCUUUUUAAAGGGCCAUCCUCUUUUCUGACUUUAAAGAGUUUCAAAUUAAAAGCGAUGACUCUGA
Molecule: long non-coding RNA, 794 nt
Organism: Hyaena hyaena (striped hyena)
Lineage: Eukaryota; Metazoa; Chordata; Mammalia; Carnivora; Hyaenidae
Exons: 2
Source: RefSeq, a predicted model, not a curated record